AGAUCUUCUGGCUAUAGUUU
RNAcentral lists this microRNA (20 nucleotides) under Ciona intestinalis (vase tunicate). Its description in RNAcentral is "cin-miR-4084-5p". Lineage: Eukaryota; Metazoa; Chordata; Ascidiacea; Phlebobranchia; Cionidae. The record is from miRBase by way of RNAcentral.